Molecule: long non-coding RNA, 723 nt
Organism: Puntigrus tetrazona (Sumatra barb)
Lineage: Eukaryota; Metazoa; Chordata; Actinopteri; Cypriniformes; Cyprinidae
Exons: 3
Source: RefSeq, a predicted model, not a curated record
UGCGCAGAAAUUGGUAGUACAUAAUUUAGCACAUGUGUACAGCUCAUGGGAAACUAUUUUUAAACUUUAUUAUUAUACACUGUAAAAAGUGCUACACCCACAAAGUAGGUUUUAAAUACUUUAAAUAGUUUUAAUCUAGUUUAUUUUAUUUGUUUUAUACUAAAACGUAUUAAUAUACUUCCUCUUUACUUAAAAUAUAUCAGUUUUUAUAUAACAAUAUAUUUUAAGUAAAGCUAUUGCAAUUUAUUUGGGUAGUUAUUUGUAUAUGGUUGUUGUGUACAAGAAAUGUUAUAAAAGUGAGUUGACAUACACAAUUUAUUAGAGCAGUUGUCGGUGUGACAGGUUUGUUCAUCAAACGUAAAUAUUUUAAAAUUUUUAGUAGUUGGCAUUAUCCAUUUUUCACUGGCGGGGACUUGCCCAGGCAGAUGCCGCAUCUUCGACACUUCAACUGUUUGAACGCUGCAGCGGAUCUUUUCAGGGACUGAUUAACACGAUACCCAAGCACUUUUGUUACCUGAGGGUCUUCAAGCUUCAUAUUCAGAGUCAUGAUGAAAGCGAGGUGCAGGCUGAGCUUGGCAGUUGCCCACUGAAAAUUUACAUGUGCCAUCAUCCCGACACAAUUGGAAUUAUCAUAGAAGGAAAGCCCGUGGUCAGAGGUGUGCCAAACCUGUCGAAAGCAUGCUGCCUCUUGUUUGGACUUACAUAUGCCCUCGACCUCAAGUA